RNAcentral lists this ribosomal RNA (481 nucleotides) under uncultured bacterium. RNAcentral describes it as "partial 16S ribosomal RNA". It matches the Rfam family "Bacterial small subunit ribosomal RNA", at positions 28 to 507 of the family's 1533-position model. The record is from RNAcentral.
GACGAACGCUGGCGGCGUGCUUAACACAUGCAAGUCGAACGGGAUCCGGGCUUUCGGGUUUGGUGAGAGUGGCGAACGGGUGAGUAACACGUGAGUAACCUGCCCCCUUCUUUGGGAUAACGUCGGGAAAUCGGCGCUAAUACUGGAUAUUCUUGCUGCAUCGCAUGGUGUGGUUUGGAAAGGGUUUCUGGUGGGGGAUGGGCUCGCGGCCUAUCAGCUUGUUGGUGGGGUGAUGGCCUACCAAGGCUUUGACGGGUAGCCGGCCUGAGAGGGUGUCCGGCCACACUGGGACUGAGACACGGCCCAGACUCCUACGGGAGGCAGCAGUGGGGAAUAUUGCACAAUGGGCGCAAGCCUGAUGCAGCGACGCCGCGUGAGGGAUGACGGCCUUCGGGUUGUAAACCUCUUUCGGUAUGGAACAAGGAUCCUUCUUUUGGGGGGUUUGAGGGUACGUGCAGAAGAAGCGCCGGCUAACUACGUG